This 225-nucleotide long non-coding RNA is filed under the name Solanum tuberosum (potato). RNAcentral's name for it is "long non-coding RNA (STUB_LNC001128)". Lineage: Eukaryota; Viridiplantae; Streptophyta; Magnoliopsida; Solanales; Solanaceae. The record is from RNAcentral.
GAUGAAGGAGAUGAACAAAGUGAUGAAAACUUUGAAACCGAUGAGAGUGAAUGAUAAUGACUUUUUACUGUAAUUUCUUUUCUAGAGUGUUUUCUUUUAUUACUAUUGCUACUAUUUUCUGUUGCUUGAUGUCAUUUCUGAAAACCUAAGUAUUUUUUUUUCGAAGUUGAUUCAUCAAUCUGUUAAAAUGGUUAUUUAGCACUCUUUUAAAUGCUUUUAUUUUCN